Molecule: ribosomal RNA, 162 nt
Filed under: uncultured bacterium
Lineage: Bacteria
Description: partial 16S ribosomal RNA
Rfam family: Bacterial small subunit ribosomal RNA
Source: RNAcentral
GGGAAUAUUGGACAAUGGGCGAAAGCCUGAUCCAGCCAUGCCGCGUGUGUGAAGAAGGUCUUCGGAUUGUAAAGCACUUUAAGUUGGGAGGAAGGGCAGUAAGUUAAUACCUUGCUGUUUUGACGUUACCGACAGAAUAAGCACCGGCUAACUCUGUCCACG